Molecule: long non-coding RNA, 2597 nt
Filed under: Arabidopsis lyrata
Lineage: Eukaryota; Viridiplantae; Streptophyta; Magnoliopsida; Brassicales; Brassicaceae
Description: long non-coding RNA (ALYR_LNC001763)
Source: RNAcentral
GUCACUUCUCCUCUAGCUGUGAGAAUGACUUAUUGAUACAGAUAAACUACAGUUUCUCCAUUGAUAACAAAUCAAACGAUAAAAUUGAAUCAAUGUUCAUAAAACACCGAUCCAAAUCUCAUGUGCUAAAGCUUAGAAUGAAGAAACAGCUUAAGCAAACAAUGAGUUCAAGAAUUCCAUAGAAUUCAGAGAACAAACCAAGAAUCGGAGAAGAAGAAGAUUACAAUUUGACACAAAUUUCAUGAAUGAUCCCCAAAUCUGUUUUUGCUUCCUUUUAACGCAUCUUUCUUCAUAAUCUUGAGCUCCAAUGAUCUCAGCCGUUGAUCCAAACUUCUAAUCUACACCUUACACGUGUCCAUUACUCCUUUCUCUUUUCCUAUAUCAAAUCCUCCUUCUCCAAACAACCAUGCCCACAUGGUUGAAAAGAAAGAUAUUGCUGCAACACAUCAUAUAAAAUUUCCCCAGUAGUCUCAGCUUUAUCCAUAUUUGAUCACUUAACCAGAACUGGAACUUCAUUGUAACUUCAGUUUUCAUGAACCAAGUAGUCUCAUCUUUCCAUAUUUGACCAUCUAACCAUAUCCACAACUUCAGCCUAAAAGAGAAAUUCAUGAAUAUUGAACCUCCAGGAUCCCAAACUCGGUUAUUAAUGUCCCAGCUCUUAAUCUCUGACCCAUAAGCACCAAUAGUCUGACCCGAAGUACAUCUCCGAAGCAUCUCAACAAAUUCUUUAUCAACUUCAGCCUUCCCCAUAAACAGCCAUUUCUUCUGUCUUUUCUUAUACGUAAACAACUUCACGUUGCAUAUAAACUUGUUUUUGUAGUGAAAUUUCCAGAACUUACCACACUUCAACUUCUUCUUAGAACUAGCAUCCUCCCACAAGAACUUGAUGUAUCUCAAUGUGCUGUCCUUUGAGAUUUUAAAUUUGAACUUCCAUGAUUUAGGAUACUUGCUAGGCUUCUUCUGUUGAUGUAAUGUGUGGUUCCUUAGGAGUUUUCCAUCGACUUCUUGGCAUGCAUAAGAAUCGCUACCUUCAUCAAUUGCAGUAUGAAAACUUUGAAUGUCCUUUGAUUCAGCAUUUAAGAUCUUUGGCAUCUCUUGAAAAUUUCCAACAACUACUAGACUUGCAAAGUUCUGGACACAAAAACUAUCACUUCCACCACCAGAUUGUAAAUCAUCAACCACAAAUCCAAUUGGUGACAUCAAUUGGUUCAUUGUUGCAUUAGCUUUAUCAAAGUCCUCAAAGGUUGAAUUAACUUUUUGAGGUUGUGAGGCACAUUCUAAGCAGCCUUUUACUUCCCCUUUGUUUCUUGUAUCCAUCUUGCUUUUCUCUUGAUUCACCGAUUCUGUCUUCAAAUUCCCAUAAGGAGCACACCAACGAGCACUUUCUAAGAUAAAAUCUCUGUCACAUUUCCACUCUUCUUGCUGUAAGAAGUUCUCCAUUCCCGCAGAAAUCUCUUGCUGAAUUGAGUGUUUCCCCUCAAAGCAUUCCCUACCCUUACGUAAGGCAUUAGGCCCGUGAAUGUUAAUCAAAGGUCCUGCAUCUUCACUUGAAAAAUUUAAAGGCUGAGCUCCUUUCAGAUAAUCAUCAUUCCCUUUUAUGAUAUUCACUCUUGGCGGAUGCGCAUACUCAUAUAAUCGUCCCAGACUUAAACAUUGUUGAAUCGUCUGAGGUUGAAACAUCCUAACAUUCACUUGAGUAUCAUUUUCCAGUCCUGUCAAAUACAGAUUUACCAAGUAAUCGUCAUCUAACUUCACUCUAGUGCUAAUCGACUCGAAACGAGCAUGAUACACCUCAAUUCCUUCAGUCUCCUGCAACAGUUUCAGUUUUGCAAUCGAAUCUUCCACAUGCUUAUUAUAUCUCACUUGCAACAGCAGUUUGUAACUCCGCCAAUCAUGCCUAACAUGCUUCCACCACAUUGAUUGUACAAUUGAUUGGUGCAAAGUCGCAGCAAUAUCAUCGAAAUGGAUUGAAGCGAUACCAACUUUCAAUUCCUCCGGAGUACGAUCAAUUAAGAAGAAUUGUUCAAUCUGAAACAACCAAUCCAUGAUUUUAUCACCAUGAAAUCGUGGAAAAUCAACUGUCUCUAACCUUUUAGGAUCUACGUAUCUCGAACACGAUCGAAACCACAUCUCUGCUACCGUUUCACGAACCACAGCGGUCGCUUCUCGAGCCACCGUCUCCUUGAUUGGAGCUUGCGAUCUUGACUCCGCCAUGGAUUCCGAGAAUCUGCUGGCUCUGAUACCUUUGAUACAGAUAAACUACAGUUUCUCCAUUGAUAACAAAUCAAACGAUAAAAUUGAAUCAAUGUUCAUAAAACACCGAUCCAAAUCUCAUGUGCUAAAGCUUAGAAUGAAGAAACAGCUUAAGCAAACAAUGAGUUCAAGAAUUCCAUAGAAUUCAGAGAACAAACCAAGAAUCGGAGAAGAAGAAGAUUACAAUUUGACACAAAUUUCAUGAAUGAUCCCCAAAUCUGUUUUUGCUUCCUUUUAACGCAUCUUUCUUCAUAAUCUUGAGCUCCAAUGAUCUCAGCCGUUGAUCCAAACUUCUAAUCUACACCUUACACGUGUCCAUUACUCCUUUCUCUUUUCCUAUAUCA